GAUGAACGCUGGCGGCGUGCCUAAUACAUGCAAGUCGAGCGAACGGACGAGAAGCUUGCUUCUCUGAUGUUAGCGGCGGACGGGUGAGUAACACGUGGAUAACCUACCUAUAAGACUGGGAUAACUUCGGGAAACCGUAGCUAAUACCGGAUAAUAUUUUGAACCGCAUGGUUCAAUAGUGAAAGACGGUCUUGCUGUCACUUAUAGAUGGAUCCGCGCUGCAUUAGCUAGUUGGUAAGUUAACGGCUUACCAAGGCAACGAUGCAUAGCCGACCUGAGAGGCGGAUCGGCCACACUGGAACUGAGACACGCUCCAGGCUCCUGCGGGAGGCAGCAGUAGGCAAUCUGCCGCAAAGGGCGAAAGCCUGACGGAGCAGCGCCGCGUGAGUGAUGAAGGUCUUGGGAUCGUAAAGCUCUGUUAUUAGGGAAGAACAUAUGUGUAAGUAACUGUGCACAUCUUGACGGUACCUAAUCAGAAAGCCCCGGCUAACUACGUG
This 497-nucleotide ribosomal RNA is filed under the name uncultured bacterium. RNAcentral describes it as "partial 16S ribosomal RNA". It matches the Rfam family "Bacterial small subunit ribosomal RNA", at positions 28 to 507 of the family's 1533-position model. The record is from RNAcentral.